GGCGUGCUUAACACAUGCAAGUCGAGCGGAGAUAAAUUGAAAGCUUGCUUUUAAUUUAUCUUAGCGGCGGACGGGAGAGUAACGUGUGGGCAACCUGCCUCAUACAGAGGGAUAAUCAUGUGAAAACGUGACUAAUACCGCAUGUCGUUUCAGGAGGGCAUCCUCCUGAAAGAAAAGGAGCAAUCCGGUAUGAGAUGGGCCCGCAUCUGAUUAGCUAGUUGGUGAGAUAACAGCCCACCAAGGCGACGAUCAGUAGCCGACCUGAGAGGGUGAUCGGCCACAUUGGGACUGAGACACAGCCCAAACUCCUACGGGAGGCAGCAGUGGGGAAUAUUGCACAAUGGGGGAAACCCUGAUGCAGCAACGCCGCGUGAAGGAAGACGGUUUUCGGAUUGUAAACUUCUAUCAAUAGAGGACGAAGAAAGUGACUGUACCUAAAUAAGAAGCCCCGGCUAACUACGUGCCAGCAGCCGCGGUAAUACGUAGGGGGCAAGCGUUAUCCGGAAUUACUGGGUGUAAAGGGUGAGUAGGCGGCAUGGCAAGUAAGAUGUGAAAGCCCGAGGCUUAACCUCGGGAUUGCAUUUUAAACUGCUAAGCUAGAGUACAGGAGAGGAAAGCGGAAUUCCUAGUGUAGCGGCGAAAUGCGUAGAUAUUAGGAAGAACACCAGUGGCGAAGGCGGCUUUCUGGACUGGAAACUGACGCUGAGGCACGAAAGCGUGGGGAGCGAACAGGAUUAGAUACCGUGGUAGUCCACGCAGUAAACGUAUGAGUGCUAGGUGUCGGAGGGGAACCUUCGGUGCCGCAGCAAACGCAAUAAGCACUCCACCUGGGGAGUACGAUCGCAAGAUUGAAACUCAAAGGAAUUGACGGGGGCCCGCACAAGCGGUGGAGCAUGUGGUUUAAUUCGAAGCAACGCGAAGAACCUUACCAAGUCUUGACAUCCACGAAGAGCCGUUAUAGAGAUACACCUUUUUUUCGGAACGUUGGAGACAGGUGGUGCAUGGUUUUGUUCAGUUCGUGUCGUGAGAUGUUGGGUUAAGUCCCGCAAGGAGCCCAACCUUUUUCUUUAGUAGCCAGCAGUAAGAUGGGCACUCUAAAGAGACUGCCGUGGAUAACACGGAGGAAGGUGGGGAUGACGUCAAAUCAUCAUGCCCCUUAUGUCCUGGGCAACACACGUGCUACAAUGGACGGAACAAAGAGAAGCGAGAUUGCGAAAGCGAGCAAAGCACAAAAACCCGUUUUCAGUUCGGAUUGUAGUCUGCAACUCGACUACAUGAAGCUGGAAUCGCUAGUAAUUGCGAAUCAGAAUGUCCCGGUGAAUACGUUUCCGGGCCUUGUACACCCCGCCCGUCACCCCCUGGGAGUUGGAAGCACCAGAAGCCUGUGACCUAACCGAAAGGGAGGAGCAGUCCAAGGUGAAACCAGUGACUGGGG
RNAcentral lists this ribosomal RNA (1435 nucleotides) under uncultured organism. Its description in RNAcentral is "SSU rRNA". It matches the Rfam family "Bacterial small subunit ribosomal RNA". The record is from RNAcentral.